ACACCUCUCUUCCGGCUGGAGCAGCCUGACCAAGUCCCACUUGCUGUUCUGCCAGGGAGCCUGAUUUUGGCACUGGUGUAUUUCCAGAACCAAGGUGGGUGCCCGGUCUGAGGCCCUAGCGGGUGUCUGGGUCCCUUCCUGGAGGCCCCUUGCCUCCCUCAGCCCUGGCUUUUGGGACUUAGCAGGGGAGGAAGUUUUUUGUUUUGUUUUGUUUUGAGACGAAGUCUCACUGUCACCAAGGCUGGAGUGCAGUGGCACAAUCUCGGCUCACUGCAACCUCCCUCUCCUGGGUUCAAGCGAUUCUCCCGCCUCAGCGUUGCGAGUUGCUGGGACUACAGGUACGUGUCACUACACAGGCUAAUUUUUGUAUUUUUUAGUAGAGAUGAGGUUUCACUGUGUUAGCCAGGCUGAACUCCUGACCUCAUGAUCCGCCCGCCUCGGCCUCCCAAAGUGCUGGGAUUACCGGCAUGAGCCACCGCGCCCGGCCUAUGGGAGGAAGUUCUGACAUGGAUGGCAGGGGUGGGGAGGGCAGCUGAGGACUCUGGAGCAGAGGCUGGGGCCCCACUCUGGCUUUCCCUGGCCCUAAAGGAAGGGUGGGGUCUGAGAGUGUGGAGGCCUGAGAGCAGGGGCAGCACAGACACCCACUCUGAGACCACUUGGUUGUCCCAGCCACCGGGUUCCAGGUGUCUGGGGCCAGGUGGGGUUUUCUCUCCAAGCCCAGAGUGACCUCCCCACUCCCAGCCUUGCCCAGAGCAAGUCUUGCUGAGUUCUAAGGUGAACUCCCACUUGUUCCAGACCAGGGACACAGGGUCCUGCAGGCCUCCCGGAGCAAGCACUCUUGAGAGGGCUUCUCCACGUGGCCACAGGACAGACUGUGCUUCAUCCAGCACUGUACGCUCAAACACACACACCUGAAACAAAGGCUCCACGAACAGGCCUGCCCUUACAGCACACCAUGCUCUUGUUUAGUCUUCCUUAUGUUUUUUGUUUUCGUUUUGAGACGGAGUCUUGCCCUAUUGCCCAGGCUGGAGUGCAGUGGUGCAAUCUUGGCUCACUGCAACCUCUGCCUUCCAGGUUCAAGCGAUUCUCCUGCCUCAGCCUCCUGAGUAGCUGGGAUUACAGGCACACAGCACCAUGCCCGGCUAGUUUUUCUAUUUUUAGUAGAGAAAGGGUUUCACCAUGUUGGUCAGGCUAGUCUCGAACUCCUGACCUCGUGAUCUGCCCGCUUCGGCCUCCCAAAGUGUUGGGAUUACAGGCAUGAGCCACCACACCCGGCUGUCUUCCUUAUUUUUUUAAAUGCCAGCUGUUUUAUGCACAAUUGUCCCAAACUAGAAACAACCCAAUUAUCCAUCAACUGGUAAAGGAAUAAACUAAUGUGUUAUCUUUGUUUGUUUAUUUAAUUUUGAUACAGGGUCCCACUCUGUCGCCCAGGCUGGAGUACAGUGGAGAGAUCACAGGUAACUACAGCCUAAACCUCUUGGGCUCAAGUGAUCUUCCCACCUCGGGCACACCUGGCUAAUUUUUUUUUUUAAUUGAAUGUGGUAUAUUAUUUAAAAGGAAUGCUGGCCAGGUGUGGUGGCUCAUGCCUGUCUGUAAUCCCAACACUUUGGGAGGCCAAGGUGGGUGGAUCACCUGAGGUCAGGAGUUCAAUAUCAGCCUGGCCAACAUGGUGAAACCCUGUCUCUACUAAAAAUACAAAAGUUAGCCAUGCGUGGUGGCGCACGCCUGUAAUCUCAGCUACUUGGGAGGCUGAAACACGAGAAUUGCUUGAAACUGGGAGGCAGAGGUUGCAAAGUAAACCAAGUUUAUGCCACUGUGUUCCAGCCUGGGCGACAGAGCGAGACUGUCUCAAAAAAAAAAAGAAAAAAAAAACUAUAAUGGUAAAUUUUGCUAUGUAUAUUUUUAUCAGUGUUUAAAAAAAAACAUAACAAACUCUCCCUUGGCUCUGCCAUGCUCCUUAUAGGGCAGGCUACUGUAAAAUGAAACUACGGGCCAGGCACGGUGGCUCAUGCCUGUAAUCCCAGCACUUUGGGAGGCCA
Molecule: long non-coding RNA, 2039 nt
Filed under: Homo sapiens (human)
Lineage: Eukaryota; Metazoa; Chordata; Mammalia; Primates; Hominidae
Description: non-protein coding LINC02323:12
Source: RNAcentral